AGGUCAAGAUAAUAAGGGCAUAAGGCGGAUGCCUUGGCACCAAGAGUCGAAGAAGGACGGGACAAGCACCGAAAUGCUUCGGGGAGUCGCAAAUAGGCUAAGAUCCGGAGAUAUCCGAAUGGGGGAACCCACUUGAGAAGACCUCAAGUAUCACUAGCUGAAUAAAAUAGGCAAGUGAGGACAACCAGGGGAACUGAAACAUCUAAGUACCCUGAGGAAAAGAAAGAAACAUCGAUUUCCUAAGUAGCGGCGAGCGAAAGGGAAAGAGCCCAAACCGAGCAAUCGGGGUUGAGGGGUUUGUAAGAAGUAAUUUAGUAAAGGUAGCUGAAUAAGCUGGGAAGCUUAACCAUAGAAGGUGAAAGUCCUGUAAGCGAAACCUUGAAAGAUGAAAGCAAACACCCAGAGUACCAUGGGACACGAGAAAUCCCGUGGGAAGCAGGGAGGACCACCUCCCAAGGCUAAAUACUACUUGGUGACCGAUAGAGAAGAAGUACCGUGAGGGAAAGGUGAAAAGAACCCCGGGAGGGGAGUGAAAAAGAACCUGAAACCUUAUGCCUACAAGCAGUGGGAGCACGUUAAAAGUGUGACCGCGUACUUUUUGUAGAACGGGCCAGCGAGUUAUGAUAUGCAGCAAGGUUAAGUACUAGAAGGUACGGAGC
RNAcentral lists this ribosomal RNA (659 nucleotides) under Vibrio parahaemolyticus. RNAcentral describes it as "partial 23S ribosomal RNA". It matches the Rfam family "Bacterial large subunit ribosomal RNA", at positions 1 to 666 of the family's 2925-position model. The record is from RNAcentral. Lineage: Bacteria; Pseudomonadati; Pseudomonadota; Gammaproteobacteria; Vibrionales; Vibrionaceae.